AUUGAACGCUGGCGGCAUGCCUUACACAUGCAAGUCGAACGGUAACGCGGGGCAACCUGGCGACGAGUGGCGAACGGGUGAGUAAUGUAUCGGAACGUGCCCAGUUGUGGGGGAUAACUGCUCGAAAGAGCAGCUAAUACCGCAUACGACCUGAGGGUGAAAGCGGGGGAUCGCAAGACCUCGCGCAGUUGGAGCGGCCGAUAUCAGAUUAGGUAGUUGGUGGGGUAAAGGCUCACCAAGCCAACGAUCUGUAGCUGGUCUGAGAGGACGACCAGCCACACUGGGACUGAGACACGGCCCAGACUCCUACGGGAGGCAGCAGUGGGGAAUUUUGGACAAUGGGGGCAACCCUGAUCCAGCCAUGCCGCGUGCGGGAAGAAGGCCUUCGGGUUGUAAACCGCUUUUGUCAGGGAAGAAAAGACUCCUGUUAAUACCGGGGGUUCAUGACGGUACCUGAAGAAUAAGCACCGGCUAACUACGUGCCAGCAGCCGCCGCGG
RNAcentral lists this ribosomal RNA (498 nucleotides) under uncultured bacterium. Its description in RNAcentral is "partial 16S ribosomal RNA". It matches the Rfam family "Bacterial small subunit ribosomal RNA", at positions 29 to 523 of the family's 1533-position model. The record is from RNAcentral.